GGGGGUUCUUAUCGAAUCUGAGAUAGUAGGCCGAAUCAGAUGAGUUGGUUAAUGAGCCAGAAGCAUAUUUUACUGACUGUUGCUGUUGGGGGUUUCUUGUAUCUUAUCAGCAACAAUUUGGGCGAUGACAUUA
This 133-nucleotide small nucleolar RNA is filed under the name Salmo trutta (river trout). Lineage: Eukaryota; Metazoa; Chordata; Actinopteri; Salmoniformes; Salmonidae. The record is from RNAcentral.